GGGAAUAUAGCUUAAUGGUAGAGUGCUUGCUUAGCAUGCAUGAAGCCCUGGGUUUGAUUCCUCAGUACCA
Molecule: transfer RNA, 70 nt
Filed under: Dipodomys ordii (Ord's kangaroo rat)
Lineage: Eukaryota; Metazoa; Chordata; Mammalia; Rodentia; Heteromyidae
Rfam family: tRNA
About the family: Transfer RNA (tRNA) molecules are approximately 80 nucleotides in length. Their secondary structure includes four short double-helical elements and three loops (D, anti-codon, and T loops).
Source: Rfam by way of RNAcentral